This 395-nucleotide ribosomal RNA is filed under the name uncultured bacterium. Its description in RNAcentral is "partial 16S ribosomal RNA". It matches the Rfam family "Bacterial small subunit ribosomal RNA", at positions 523 to 918 of the family's 1533-position model. The record is from RNAcentral.
AUACGUAGGGAGCGAGCGUUAUCCGGAUUCAUUGGGCGUAAAGCGCGCGUAGGCGGCUCGGGAAGCGGAACCUCUAACCUUGGGGCUCAACCUCAAGCCGGGUUCCGAACUCCCGGGCUCGUGUCAGGUAGGGGCAGGCGGAAUUCCCGGUGUAGCGGGGAAAUGCGCAGAUAUCGGGAGGAAAACCGAUGGCGAAGGCAGCCUGCUGGGCCUAGAGACUGACGCUGAGGUGCGAAAGCGUGGGGAGCGAACAGGAUUAGAUACCCUGGUAGUCCACGCCGUAAACGAUGGGCGCUAGGUGUGGGGGAGCGUAUCCCCCGUGCCGCAGCUAACGCAUUAAGCGCCCCGCCUGGGGAGUACGGCCGCAAGGCUAAAACUCAAAUGAAUGGGCGGGG